Small nuclear RNA from Artibeus jamaicensis (Jamaican fruit-eating bat), 183 nucleotides. RefSeq annotates it as U2 spliceosomal RNA. The transcript has a single exon. NCBI's taxonomy places the organism in Eukaryota, Metazoa, Chordata, Mammalia, Chiroptera, Phyllostomidae. The record is from RefSeq and is a predicted model, not a curated record.
AUGGCUUCUUGGCCUUUUGGCUAAGAUCAAGUGUAGUGUCUGUUCUUACCAGUUUAAAAUCUACUUUAUUAUACAAGGUAAUACAAAAGUAAGUUUACAGUUGUGAGUACAUAAAACACAGUUUAUUCUUGUAUUGUGCAUUGAUUAUUGCAUUAUUUUCCAUACAGACGGCUGUAAACCUAC